CCGAGUUUACAACUCCCAAACCCAUGUGAACCAUACCACUGUUGCCUCGGCGGGAUCACGCCCGGUGCGUCCCCCGGUAACCAGGGCGCCCGCCAGAGGGACCACCUAAACUCUUCUGUAGUCCCUCCUACUUAUUUUACAGCUCUGAGUCAAAAAUUCAAAAUGAAUCA
Molecule: unclassified non-coding RNA, 170 nt
Filed under: soil metagenome
Description: partial internal transcribed spacer 1
Source: RNAcentral